RNAcentral lists this ribosomal RNA (356 nucleotides) under uncultured Pelotomaculum sp. RNAcentral's name for it is "bacterial SSU rRNA". It matches the Rfam family "Bacterial small subunit ribosomal RNA", at positions 1027 to 1382 of the family's 1533-position model. The record is from RNAcentral. Lineage: Bacteria; Bacillati; Bacillota; Clostridia; Eubacteriales; Desulfotomaculaceae.
CAGGGAGACAGGUGGUGCAUGGUUGUCGUCAGCUCGUGUCGUGAGAUGUUGGGUUAAGUCCCGCAACGAGCGCAACCCCUACGUUUAGUUGCUAACGCGUGAAGGCGAGCACUCUAGACGAACUGCCGUUGACAAAACGGAGGAAGGUGGGGAUGACGUCAAAUCAUCAUGCCCCUUAUGUUCUGGGCUACACACGUGCUACAAUGGCCGGUACAGACGGAGGCGAAGCCGCGAGGCGGAGCAAAUCCGAAAAAGCCGGUCUCAGUUCGGAUUGCAGGCUGCAAUUCGCCUGCAUGAAGUCGGAAUCGCUAGUAAUCGCAGGUCAGCAUACUGCGGUGAAUACGUUCCCGGGCCUU